ACAGAGACCAAACACACCCUUACUCUCUCCAAGCUUAAGAGCGCAUUCCAUUAGGCAAAACAAAUCAAGCUUAAGAGCGCAUUCCAUUAGGGAAAAACAAAUUGGGGAAACAGAGAUUGGACCUUAACAUUCAGAUUUGCUGGAACUGGAACGAGAUACGAUGGUCGCUCAAUGGUUGACAUGGAUUUCACAUCUUUGGGUUCAACUAGUCUGUUCAGAUACUCUUCAUAAGGAGGGGUUUAUUGGACUUCUUCCCGAUGAAAUCAUCAUUGAUAUCCUCAGUAGACUCCCAACUGAUAGUGUUUUAGAAUGUCGAAGGGUGUGUAAGAAGUGGUUGGCACUAACUUCAAUACCAUAUUUUGCUUCUAAAAGAGCUGCAAAACGAG
This is a non-coding RNA of Camellia sinensis, 386 nucleotides long. Lineage: Eukaryota; Viridiplantae; Streptophyta; Magnoliopsida; Ericales; Theaceae. The record is from RefSeq and is a predicted model, not a curated record.